This is a small nuclear RNA of Sphaerodactylus townsendi, 102 nucleotides long. Lineage: Eukaryota; Metazoa; Chordata; Lepidosauria; Squamata; Sphaerodactylidae. The record is from RefSeq and is a predicted model, not a curated record.
UUUCUUCAGCAGCACAAAUACUAAAAUUGGAAUGAUAUGGAAAAGAUCAGCAUGGCCCCUGUGCAAGGAAGUUUAGCAAUAACGGAUGUGCCCACUCUGGUC